UUUUUUUUUUUUUUUUUUUUUUUUUAAAGGACAACUUACAUACUUAGGUUGCUCCAAAAGUAAAGUCUCCUAUUUCCUUCCAUGGAAACUACAGCAGAUAAAAAGAGCACAGUAACAUGAUUUGAUAGAGCAAAUUCCCAGCUACAAAAUGCUAUUUUUAACCAUGGCCACCACUAUUAGCUAUGCAUUUUUGUGAGUGAUGAGCAAAAGCUUGCAUGACAUGCUUAUAAAAAUCUGCACCAGUGGAGAUGACCCACUGUUUCACAGUUGCUAUGAUGGCAUCAUUUCUAGGAAAAUGUUGUCCGUGCAGUCCAUCUUUCAUCAGCCCAAAUAAAUGGAAGUCAGAAGGCACCAAACCCAGAGUAUACAGUGAGUGUGGUAGGACGGAUCAGCCAAGAUUGACAAUGUGCUCCACGCUCUUCAAACUGUCUCUGUGCCUGAUGUUAUCAUGUUGUUGGAGAAAGACUUCUUCUCUGGACUUUGGAAGCUCGAGCUUUCAAUUUAGUAAGCAUGAUGAUGUAGCAGUCAGAGUUGAUGGUUUGUCUGACUUCCAGGAAAUCCAGAGGUUUCACACCUUUCCUGUCCCAAACAAUAGUGCACAUCACUUUGAGCCUUGAAAGUUUUCUUCAGUGGAAGAAUUCACGUGUCGUCAUUUCAUGCAAUGACAUUUUGAAUAUGGCUCAUAGUAAUGAUACCACAUCUCAUCGCCAGUAAUGAUGUGAUCCAGGAAACUGUCAUUUUCAGCCUUGUGUUGGUUUAAUGGAUCCUGACAAACUUGCAUACUGUGUUCUUUCUGUUCCUGUGUGAGUACUCAUGGGAUUCACCCGCUGCAAACUUUGUAGUCAAUGUUGCCACCGUCAUUUCCAAUGAACUGAAGCCAAUGUUCAGAUUUGUACACAGUUCUCUUGUUGUAAUCCAAUAAUCUGUGUGAAUGAGCUGAUUGAGACACUCUUUAUUUUGUGGUCUAACAGUUGUGCAUGGCAACCUAGAACACUGGUGUUGCCACUGCUGAAAUGCACCACCCACUGCCUCACUGUGCUGACAUGUGCUCUUUGGUCUCCAUAAGCUUUCAGCUAGUGUUGAUGAAUGCCAAUGGGUGCAAUUUUUUUCCACAUGGAGAAAUUAAGUUCCACACCUUUGCUUCACACACACAUCUAUGUCAGACACCACUGUGUCACACUGCCCCUCUGCUGCCUUCUGUCACAUGGAAACAAAAUAUAGUUGAAUAUUGGUGGGAAGGUGCAACUUUUACUGCCAUACCACCAACAUCUGCUUUUGAUGUCAUGAACCAACAUAAUAAAAUAGGAGGUAUUACUUUUGGAGCAGCCCUUGAACCUGGGAGUCUGUCUCCUUGAACUGGCUAAAAAAAAAAUCAGUCGGUGAGAGGAUUACAAGACAAAUAAAAAGGCACUAUGCAUCUGUCCUGUUUUAUACAUGUAACAGAGAAGUAUAAAUUGUGGGGGUGGGUAUCUCAGCUCAUUUUAACUUUGAUAAUCUCUAACAUCAAAUAUGGCAGGCACACACACACACACACACACACACGCACACACAAAGUAGUGAAGAAGGAAGAGUUAAUACGGGCUGCUUUGAACUACUCAUUUAAUUCUUAUUUUGGCCAAGGAGGACUAGUGGUAACACCUGAUGGUCAUUCUGUAACCACAUCACAGUCAAAGUGGGAAUUACAGUGUUACUAUGUGUCUUGAUUGUCAGAGAAAAGCUGAGGGACUGAGAUAAGAGAUACCUGGUAACUUAGGAAAAAUCUUGAGGACUGUAUUACUGGUAGAGCUCAGGCAUACGAAGUAGGGUUCAACUCUAAGUGGGGUUCAUUAUCUAUACUUGCUGAUCUGGUCAAUAAUGUGCCAAGGAAGACUCAGAAGACGCGAGCCUAAUUCCCAGAUCUGUCUUUGAUUUUCUGCAUUACUUUUUCUCCACUUUUUUUUUCCCUGACUACAUUUAAAAUAUAAAUAAUGAUGUACUAUCACCUGUGUUUUGAAGUCUGUAUACUAAAAUAAGCUCAGUGAUAAUAAACACAUUUCAAAUGC
This is a long non-coding RNA of Gallus gallus (chicken), 2042 nucleotides long. The record is from Ensembl. NCBI's taxonomy places the organism in Eukaryota, Metazoa, Chordata, Aves, Galliformes, Phasianidae.